UACGGAGGGUGCAAGCGUUAUCCGGAAUCAUUGGGUUUAAAGGGUCCGCAGGCGGGACUGUAAGUCAGUGGUGAAAUCCUACAGCUCAACUGUAGAACCGCCAUUGAUACUGUAGAUCUUGAAUUAAGUGGGAGUGGGCGGAAUAUGACAUGUAGCGGUGAAAUGCAUAGAUAUGUCAUAGAACACCGAAAGCGAAGGCAGCUCACUAUACUUUAAUUGACGCUCAUGGACGAAAGCGUGGGGAGCAAACAGG
This 253-nucleotide ribosomal RNA is filed under the name uncultured Flavobacteriales bacterium. Its description in RNAcentral is "partial 16S ribosomal RNA". It matches the Rfam family "Bacterial small subunit ribosomal RNA", at positions 524 to 776 of the family's 1533-position model. Lineage: Bacteria; Pseudomonadati; Bacteroidota; Flavobacteriia; Flavobacteriales. The record is from RNAcentral.